This 640-nucleotide ribosomal RNA is filed under the name Chionanthus virginicus. Its description in RNAcentral is "eukaryotic LSU rRNA". The stretch from base 252 to 407 matches the Rfam family "5.8S ribosomal RNA". Lineage: Eukaryota; Viridiplantae; Streptophyta; Magnoliopsida; Lamiales; Oleaceae. The record is from RNAcentral.
ACCUGCGGAAGGAUCAUUGUCGAAACCUGCAAAGCAGACCCGCGAACACGUUCCAACUCACAGGGAGGACGACGUGGACGAUCCGUCCCACGUCGGAGACCCACUCCGUCGAUGCGUGCGCAAGCACUCGUCGCACGGCUCAACGAACCCCGGCGCGAAAAGCGUCAAGGAAUACUCAAAAACAUUGCUCGCCCCUCGAUGCCCCGUUCGCGGUGCGCACUUGGGGACCGGGCGUGUGUCGAAUUUAAAACGACUCUCGGCAACGGAUAUCUUGGCUCUCGCAUCGAUGAAGAACGCAGCAAAAUGCGAUACUUGGUGUGAAUUGCAGAAUCCCGUGAACCAUCGAGUUUUUGAACGCAAGUUGCGCCCGAAGCCAUUGUGCCGAGGGCACGUCUGCCUGGGCGUCACGCACAGCGUCGCCCUCCACCUCCCCCGUAACGGGAUCGCGGGUGUUGGGCCGGAUAUUGGUCUCCCGUGCGCAUCCGCGCGCGGYUGGCCCAAAUGUGAUUCGGCAUCGACGCAUGUCACGACAAUUGGUGGUUGAAGACCUCAACUCGCGCGUUGUCGUGCGGGACUGCGUCGUUUCGCCGGGAUGUGCCGACCCCGAAGGUGCUUCGCACUUCGACAGCGACCCCAGGUC